UACGUAGGGAGCAAGCGUUGUCCGGAAUCAUUGGGCGUAAAGCGCGCGUAGGUGGCCCGAUAAGUCCGCUCUGAAAGUCACAGGCUCAACCUGUGAAAGCGGGUGGAUACUGUCGGGCUAGAGUCCGGAAGAGGCGAGUGGAAUUCCUGGUGUAGCGGUGGAAUGCGCAGAUAUCAGGAGGAACACCAAUGGCGAAGGCAGCUCGCUGGGACGUGACUGACGCUGAGACGCGAAAGCGUGGGGAGCAAACAGG
This 253-nucleotide ribosomal RNA is filed under the name uncultured bacterium. Its description in RNAcentral is "partial 16S ribosomal RNA". It matches the Rfam family "Bacterial small subunit ribosomal RNA", at positions 524 to 776 of the family's 1533-position model. The record is from RNAcentral.